This 464-nucleotide ribosomal RNA is filed under the name uncultured bacterium. RNAcentral describes it as "partial 16S ribosomal RNA". It matches the Rfam family "Bacterial small subunit ribosomal RNA", at positions 338 to 795 of the family's 1533-position model. The record is from RNAcentral.
CCUACGGGGGGCAGCAGUGGGGGAUAUUGCACAAUGGGGGGAACCCUGAUGCAGCGACGCCGCGUGGGUGAAGGAUGACUGCCCUAUGGGUUGUAAACUUCUUUUAUAAAGGAAUAAAACGAGGCACGUGUGCCUUUUUGCAUGUACUUUAUGAAUAAGGAUCGGCUAACUCCGUGCCAGCAGCCGCGGUAAUACGGAGGAUCCGAGCGUUAUCCGGAUUUAUUGGGUUUAAAGGGAGCGUAGAUGGGUUGUUAAGUCAGUUGUGAAAGUUUGCGGCUCAACCGUAAAAUUGCAAUUGAUACUGGCAGUCUUGAGUACAGUUGAGGUAGGCGGAAUUCGUGGUGUAGCGGUGAAAUGCUUAGAUAUCACGAAGAACCCCGAUUGCGAAGGCAGCUUACUAAACUGUGACUGACAUUGAUGCUCGAAAGUGUGGGUAUCAAACAGGAUUAGAUACCCUAGUAGUC